Molecule: ribosomal RNA, 460 nt
Filed under: uncultured bacterium
Lineage: Bacteria
Description: partial 16S ribosomal RNA
Rfam family: Bacterial small subunit ribosomal RNA
Source: RNAcentral
CCUACGGGAGGCAGCAGUGAGGAAUAUUGGUCAAUGGACGAGAGUCUGAACCAGCCAAGUAGCGUGAAGGAUGACUGCCCUAUGUGUUGUAAACUUCUUUUAUAUGGGAAUAAAAUGUUCCACGUGUGGGAUUUUGUAUGUCCCAUAUGAAUAAGGAACGGCUAACUCCGUGCCAGCAGCCGCGGUAAUACGGAGGAUCCGAGCGUUAUCCGGAUUUAGUGGGUUUAAAGGGAGCGUAGGUGGAUUGUUAAGUCAGUUGUGAAAGUUUGCGGCUCAACCGUAAGAUUGCAGUUGAAACUGGCAGUCUUGAGUACAGUAGAGGUGGGUGGAAUUCGUGGUGUAGCGGUGAAAUGCUUAGAUAUCACGAAGAGCUCCGAUUGCGAAGGCAGCUCACUGGACUGCAACUGACACUGAGGCUCGAAAGUGUGGGUAUCAAACAGGAUUAGAUACCCUUGUAGUC